RNAcentral lists this small nucleolar RNA (192 nucleotides) under Saimiri boliviensis boliviensis (Bolivian squirrel monkey). The record is from RNAcentral. Lineage: Eukaryota; Metazoa; Chordata; Mammalia; Primates; Cebidae.
AAGCUUUACAAAUUGAGGCAAUACAACUCUUCUGAGUUUUUCUUAAAAACAAGCAAACAAGUCACUGUUGCCACGGUGGUAAUGACUGGGCUAUGUCAUUAUCUAUCCACCAACAGUAAGAGAAGCUUUGCAGUCGAGAUACUGUUGAGCAGAUGGAGUGUUUUCUGUUGGACACUAAGUACUGCUACAAAU